CGGCAGGCCUAACACAUGCAAGUCGAGCGGUAGAGAGAAGCUUGCUUCUCUUGAGAGCGGCGGACGGGUGAGUAAUGCCUAGGAAUCUGCCUGGUAGUGGGGGAUAACGUUCGGAAACGGACGCUAAUACCGCAUACGUCCUACGGGAGAAAGCAGGGGACCUUCGGGCCUUGCGCUAUCAGAUGAGCCUAGGUCGGAUUAGCUAGUUGGUGAGGUAAUGGCUCACCAAGGCGACGAUCCGUAACUGGUCUGAGAGGAUGAUCAGUCACACUGGAACUGAGACACGGUCCAGACUCCUACGGGAGGCAGCAGUGGGGAAUAUUGGACAAUGGGCGAAAGCCUGAUCCAGCCAUGCCGCGUGUGUGAAGAAGGUCUUCGGAUUGUAAAGCACUUUAAGUUGGGAGGAAGGGUUGUAGAUUAAUACUCUGCAAUUUUGACGUUACCGACAGAAUAAGCACCGGCUAACUCUGUGCCAGCAGCCGCGGUAAUACAGAGGGUGCAAGCGUUAAUCGGAAUUACUGGGCGUAAAGCGCGCGUAGGUGGUUUGUUAAGUUGGAUGUGAAAUCCCCGGGCUCAACCUGGGAACUGCAUUCAAAACUGACUGACUAGAGUAUGGUAGAGGGUGGUGGAAUUUCCUGUGUAGCAGUGAAAUGCGUAGAUAUAGGAAGGAACACCAGUGGCGAAGGCGACCACCUGGACUAAUACUGACACUGAGGUGCGAAAGC
This 725-nucleotide ribosomal RNA is filed under the name uncultured bacterium. Its description in RNAcentral is "bacterial SSU rRNA". It matches the Rfam family "Bacterial small subunit ribosomal RNA", at positions 40 to 760 of the family's 1533-position model. The record is from RNAcentral.